UUUUAUGGAGAGUUUGAUCCUGGCUCAGGAUGAACGCUGGCGGCGUGCCUAAUACAUGCAAGUCGAGCGAACGGAYGAGAAGCUUGCUUCUCUGAUGUUAGCGGCGGACGGGUGAGUAACACGUGGAUAACCUACCUAUAAGACUGGGAUAACUUCGGGAAACCGGAGCUAAUACCGGAUAAUAUUUUGAACCGCAUGGUUCAAAAGURAAAGACGGUCUUGCUGUCACUUAUAGAUGGAUCCGCGCUGCAUUAGCUAGUUGGUAAGGUAACGGCUUACCAAGGCAACGAUGCAUAGCCGACCUGAGAGGGU
Molecule: ribosomal RNA, 312 nt
Filed under: Staphylococcus aureus
Lineage: Bacteria; Bacillati; Bacillota; Bacilli; Caryophanales; Staphylococcaceae
Description: bacterial SSU rRNA
Rfam family: Bacterial small subunit ribosomal RNA
Source: RNAcentral